CUCAGGGGGCAUCACGGAACCUGCCGACAUGUGAUGUCUCCCCCGGACACCCAGCUUUAAAAUUUCUCUCUUGUACUCUUUCCCUUUAUUUCUAGACCGGCCAACACUUAGAGAAAUAGAAAAGAACCUAUGUGAAAUAUCGGGGGCUGGUUUCCCCUGAUAGUGAAGGAGACAGGUUAGAUACACUGGAGCUUCCACACAGGAGAGAGGGAAGGAGCUGGAGAAGAAGUAGCUGAAUAUAACUGGCCAGUGCAGAAGAGCCUAUGAAGGUGGAAAAUGGAGGAAGGAGGACCCCAUGCUGGAGAAGUGAUGGAGAUUUGAAGCCUUGGAAGAUGGCGGCAAGGGAGAUGCCAGAGAUGAGACAAUGUUAAACAUCUGUAAUCUAACAGUCUUCUAUGGGAGUUUAUUACAUUUCCAUAUCCUAUGUUCACUUCUAGUGAAAAAUAAAAAUAAAAUCUUAAGCCCCCCACAGCUGACUAAAUGGAUCCCAUUGUGAAAGGAAAAUAUCUUGAGCCUCCAAAAUCACUAAGGAAAAUUCAAGCUGGAAACUUCUUAGGACAAACCUGCCUCCCAUUCUCUUCAAAGUUAUUCCUCUGCUCGAGGAGCUAGAUGCAUAUCUGAUUGCCGCCUUUGGAAAGGCUAACCAGAAACUCAAAAGAAUGAUACAGUUUGUUAUCACCUACCUGUGACCUGGAAGCUCCCUCCCUCCCCACUUGAGUCUUCCUGCUUUUGUUUCAAGCUGUCCUGCCUUUCCAGACCAAACCAAUGUACUUCUUACGUAUAUUGAUUGAUGUCUCACUCAUGUCUCCCUAAAUCGUAUAAAACCAAGCUGUGCCCCAACUACCCUGGGCAUGUGUCAUCAGGAUUUCAUGAAGCUGUGUCACGGGCGCAUUCCCCAACCUUGAAAAAAUAAACUUUCUAAAUUAACUGAGACCUGUCUCAGAUUUUCUGGGUUCACAUUGUUUUCGUCAAGGGGACUCCCCAAGUAACUUUGAAAACUGAGUUCUAGGCUGUGAGGGGAUGGGAGGUCAGAGGUCAGACGCACCUUGCUGCACACCUCCACCUCGCUAACCCCCUUAGGCUUUCUUCCCUAGGGGCUAAACAGAAACCAGCUCUUUCCUUUUUUUUUUUUCUUUUUUUUUAGAGACGAGUCUUGCUCUGUCACCCAGGCUGGAGUGCAGUGGUUCGAUUUUGGCUCACUGCAACCACCACCUCCCAGGUUCAAGCAAUUCUCCUGCCUCAGCUUCCCAAGUAACUGCAACUACAAGCACAUGCCACCAUGCCCGGCUAAUUUCUUUUGUAUUUUUAGUAGAGAUGGGGUUUCACCAUGUUGCCCGGGCUGGUCUUGAACUCCUGAGCUCAGGCAAUCUGUCCGCCUCAGCCUCCCAAAGUGCUAGGAUUACAGGCAUGAGCCACUGCACCCAGCCAAAACCAGCUCUUUCAAAAGACUCCAGUGCUGAUAUCAACAACUGCCUGAGGCUUCCCCACCCUUUUGCAGUUUCCACAUAACAAUUAACCAGCAUUCCCUCCUGAUAAGAGACAACACCCCGCCCGCCGACGCAGAGCGGUUCUGGCCAGUCUUCAGAGGCUGCACACAGAGAGCCUGCGUGUCCCUGCUUUGUCUUUCGAUGUAAAAGGCCUAACUGUCAUGCAUUGAAAUGUGAAGUCUCCAGCCCAAAGUGAACAUGGGACACAUGCUGCAUGCAUGUUAGCCUGCUACACAUGCAUGAUCCUCUUCAUGAAUAUUCAUAGCUCCUCCUGUAAUCUGUUGAAUAUGUAUACUUAGCCAAC
RNAcentral lists this long non-coding RNA (1791 nucleotides) under Homo sapiens (human). Its description in RNAcentral is "PREDICTED lncRNA (TCONS_00209549)". Lineage: Eukaryota; Metazoa; Chordata; Mammalia; Primates; Hominidae. The record is from RNAcentral.